GAUGUUUUUAUUUUGUGAUAAAAAUAAAAUUUUAUAGUAUAAAAAAUUAUUACCUUUUGUAUCAUGGUAUCAUAAAUUUUAUAAAAAUAUAUACUCGAUAUAUUUAGAGAGAGGUUAAAAGUAUUUUGUCGUGUCAUAGAUUAGUAAUUUUAACCAGGUAACGAAAGCUUAAACGAUAAAUAAGUUAUCUAGAUUUCAUUUAAAGAAUAUAUUUAAAAUAGUUAAAUAUUAGUUUCCAUGCAGUAAUAAAAUUUAGUUUUUUGGGCUUUAAAAUGGUUAAAAUUUAAUUGUGUUAUUAUUUAAUAAGAAAAAAUGUUGGUUGUUUAAUAGUAUGAAAAGUUUUUCUUUUUUAAAAAAAAGGUAAUAUGUGAUAAUAAGUAGAAUUUUAAGAUUAUAUAGAGAACUCAAUUAUUUUAUUAAAUGUUUAACAAAAACAUUGUUUUAUUAAAAUAAAAUAAAGUCUGCCCACUGAAAAUUAAAUGGCUGCGGUAUAUUAACUGUGCUAAGGUAGCAUAAUAAUUUGUCUUUUAAUUGAGGACUAGAAUGAAGGGCUUUAUAGUAAAUUAAUUUUUAUGUAGUUUAUUUGAAUUUAAAGUUUAGGUAAAAAUUCCUAGAUUUAUAAAAAAGACGAUAAGACCCUAAAAGCUUUAUUUUUUUGUUUUAGUAAAAAAUUUUGUAUUUUAUUUUUAUUAUAAUAAAGAUUUUUGGCUGGGGUAGCAACUUUGUUUUGGUAAAAUAAAAUGAAACUUUUGAGAAAAAGAGAACCUUUUUAUUAUGGUAAUUGUUUAAGUUACUUUAGGGAUAACAGCAUAAUGCCUUCGGAGAGAUCUUAUCAAUGAAGGAGUUUGUGACCUCGAUGUUGAAUUAAAAUAUCCGAUUAGAGCAGUAUUUAAGUUGGGAGGGUUUGUUCAACCUUUAAAUUUUUACAUGAUUUGAGUUCAAACCGGUUUAAGCCAGGUUGGUUUCUAUCUUUUUAUAAUUUUAUUAUUUUUGUAGUACGAGAGGACCUAAGAAUGUUUUA
This 1021-nucleotide ribosomal RNA is filed under the name Grandidierella rubroantennata. RNAcentral's name for it is "large ribosomal RNA". The stretch from base 801 to 960 matches the Rfam family "Archaeal large subunit ribosomal RNA", at positions 2542 to 2701 of the family's 2987-position model. Lineage: Eukaryota; Metazoa; Arthropoda; Malacostraca; Amphipoda; Corophiidae. The record is from RNAcentral.